AUUGAACGCUGGCGGCAUGCCUUACACAUGCAAGUCGAACGGUAACGGGCCUCCGGGUGCCGACGAGUGGCGAACGGGUGAGUAAUACAUCGGAACGUGCCCGAUCGUGGGGGAUAACGAGGCGAAAGCUUUGCUAAUACCGCAUACGAUCUACGGGUGAAAGCAGGGGACCGCAAGGCCUUGCGCGGACGGAGCGGCCGAUGGCAGAUUAGGUAGUUGGUGGGAUAAAAGCUUACCAAGCCGACGAUCUGUAGCUGGUCUGAGAGGAUGAUCAGCCACACUGGGACUGAGACACGGCCCAGACUCCUACGGGAGGCAGCAGUGGGGAAUUUUGGACAAUGGGCGCAAGCCUGAUCCAGCCAUGCCGCGUGCAGGAUGAAGGCCUUCGGGUUGUAAACUGCUUUUGUACGGAACGAAAAGCCUUCUUUUAAUACAGGAGGGUCAUGACGGUACCGUAAGAAUAAGCACCGGCUAACUACGUG
RNAcentral lists this ribosomal RNA (482 nucleotides) under uncultured bacterium. Its description in RNAcentral is "partial 16S ribosomal RNA". It matches the Rfam family "Bacterial small subunit ribosomal RNA", at positions 30 to 507 of the family's 1533-position model. The record is from RNAcentral.